Molecule: ribosomal RNA, 414 nt
Filed under: uncultured Funneliformis
Lineage: Eukaryota; Fungi; Glomeromycota; Glomeromycetes; Glomerales; Glomeraceae
Description: partial 28S ribosomal RNA
Source: RNAcentral
GAGAGUUAAACAGUACGUGAAAUUGUUGAAAGGGAAACGAUUGAAGUCAGUCAUACCAACGGGAAAUCAACCUUUUGAGCUCGGUCUCGUGGGUUUUGAAGAGUUUCAAAGCCUUCGGAUUCGCGGGAUUGGGAUCUCUUGGCGUACUUUUUCGUACGGUUAGUCAACAUCGGUUUUGAUUGUCAUAAAAUGACUGGAGGAAUGUAGCUUCGAUCUCGUAUUGAAGUGUUAUAGCCUUUGGUAGAUGUGAUGUUUGAGACCGAGGAUUGCAACGGAUACCCUUCAGGGCUAUUCGUCUGAUCUCUGAUACGUUGCCUUGAUGUUGAAAGCUUGCUUAUGAUGUUAGGGUAUUACGGUCAAAAGGUUAGAACGAAUUACAUUCGUUAAGGAUGUUGACGUAAUGACUUUAAACGA